RNAcentral lists this ribosomal RNA (1485 nucleotides) under Triticum aestivum (bread wheat). RNAcentral's name for it is "partial small subunit ribosomal RNA". The record is from RNAcentral. Lineage: Eukaryota; Viridiplantae; Streptophyta; Magnoliopsida; Poales; Poaceae.
CGCGAGCCCGGCCUAGGUGAGGCGAGCAGGGGGUAAUGGAAGGGGGCCUCGGCGCCGACGGCGCAGCGGAACGUCGGCUCGUCGGUGUUGUGGGUCGUCGCGGCCACGGGGGUGGAGGGUAGAACCGGCGUAGUUCGUGGCAGCUACGUCAGUGCGCGCGGGGGGUCGGUGGAGGUUAAAGACGCACUCGUGACGGCGGUUUGGUGGUCAUCGGCGUGGUAGAAGGAGCGGCACGGCGGAGAAGAUCGUAACCUAGGCCACUCUAGGCACAGUAGGUCUCGAAGUCAGUGGCCUAGACCGGGCGGGGUGGAGCGUCGCGGCGGGGUGGUACCGGCCCCAACGACGUGGUGGGGUACUACCUGCCGGAGGUGCAGGGGCGCUACCUGUGCCGGCAUCGAGGUAGGGCACGACGGGGCUGGCGCCGGGGUCGAGGUGGGGCAUACCGAAGGUGCCGGGGCGGGGCUGACGCCGGGGUCGAAGCGGGGCCUAUCGGAGGUGUCGGGGCGGGACGAACGUCGAACUUCAGCCACUCCUCGAACCAGACGUCGAGCCAACGAACAGAUAAACGUCAUGUGCGACGACCGUUACGUUAGGCUACUAAUAAACUGGCAAGGGCUCAUAAGCAACAAGCUAAACCCGACCUGCCUCUUGGUGGCGUAGAGGGAGGGGAUCUCGGAAAAAGGAAACGAGGGGUGACUGUCUGUCUGUUGGUGCGUUCCUCUCCUUUUCUUGUAGCUGCUCUCGGGUUUCUGCGAUACUACCUUAAGUCAGGUGGAGCAGCCUCUUCCUACCGUCUCACUACGGAACGUUAUAUCACCUCGUGAGGAACGGUACGCUCACACGUCACACCUUCCGUUACAGCACGCCAAGAGGCACACUUAGGGAAGGUCCCAACAACGAUAAGUUUUUGUAAAAGAACACAAAAAACCUUUUAAAUUACUCAGAAAUAGUUACGUCACGCCAAAUCUUCGAAGGCAGGUCAUAUAAAAAGUUUACCUAUAAAACGUACAUAAGCUCUGUACCUCUUUUCUCGUUUACGCCAGGCUAACGUAAAAAGAGUAAAAACAAAACAAAGAUCCCCUCUUACACUCUUCUACGUGACGCCAAGUCAGGGGAGAUCCUUCAUGUAGCUGUCGUUUCCAAGUACCCCACCCGCUCAGGGAACGCGGCUUGAGGGACACAGAGCACUCGCAUCGAAGUUUUUUCACGUUUCUUAUAAAAAAGGCUGCUACAUCAAACAACACAUACAACCUCUCCAAGCGAGGAGGCGCGCCCAGUAAAAAGACUACAUGAUCAAGCGAAGAAAGUGUUCACUUGAGAAAUUGAAAAAAAACAAAAAUAAAAACAAACCAGAUCACGUCAAGGUAUACAAUCAACCUCUCCAAGUAAAAGUACUUUUUUCCCAACUACAUCGGCCAACUACGUCGGGUAAUGUGGGUACAAAAAGUAAACAACCUUUUUAUUAAACAACACGUGAGUUAUUGC